UACGAAGGGUGCAAGCGUUACUCGGAAUUACUGGGCGUAAAGCGUGCGUAGGUGGCUCGUUAAGUCUGAUGUGAAAGCCCUGGGCUCAACCUGGGAAUGGCAUUGGAAACUGGCGACCUAGAGUGCGGUAGAGGGUAGUGGAAUUCCCGGUGUAGCAGUGAAAUGCGUAGAGAUCGGGAGGAACAUCUGUGGCGAAGGCGACUACCUGGACCAGCACUGACACUGAGGCACGAAAGCGUGGGGAGCAAACAGG
This 253-nucleotide ribosomal RNA is filed under the name uncultured bacterium. Its description in RNAcentral is "partial 16S ribosomal RNA". It matches the Rfam family "Bacterial small subunit ribosomal RNA", at positions 524 to 776 of the family's 1533-position model. The record is from RNAcentral.